UAAAAUUGUAAUUUUUUAUUAGUAGGUAUUGCGUACCCGUUUAAAGAGAAUUUUAUAAAAAUAAAAUAUAGAAUUAAAAGGUAGAAUUUUUAUUGUUUUUAUUGUUUCAUAAUAAAAAUUAUAAAAUUUAGGGUUGAAAAGUCGACUUUUAAGAUAUCUGUUUGUUUUGUGAGUUUAUUAGAAAUUUAUAUAAAAAGUAAUUUGUAUAUAAAAAGUAAAAGUUGAAGUAUUUAUUUGUUUAGUUUUAUAACUGUUUAUAAUUAUUUAUUUAAAUUAUUGUUAAAAGAAGUAAAAAUUAUUAAGUUGUUAAUAAUUGAAUUAUUUUAAGAUAAGUAUGUUAAUUAAGUUAUUUAUUAUUUUAUAAUUUAACAAAAUAAUUAAAAAUUUAAUCAAAUGUUUAUUAAAGUCUUAGACUUUUAGAUAAAGUUUGCUUCUGCCCAAUGAUUAUUAUUAAAUGGCAGUCUUAGCGU
RNAcentral lists this ribosomal RNA (470 nucleotides) under Cyathostomum pateratum. RNAcentral describes it as "partial large subunit ribosomal RNA". Lineage: Eukaryota; Metazoa; Nematoda; Chromadorea; Rhabditida; Strongylidae. The record is from RNAcentral.